This 255-nucleotide ribosomal RNA is filed under the name Escherichia coli. Its description in RNAcentral is "partial 23S ribosomal RNA". It matches the Rfam family "Bacterial large subunit ribosomal RNA", at positions 1088 to 1341 of the family's 2925-position model. Lineage: Bacteria; Pseudomonadati; Pseudomonadota; Gammaproteobacteria; Enterobacterales; Enterobacteriaceae. The record is from RNAcentral.
GACAGCCAGGAUGUUGGCUUAGAAGCAGCCAUCAUUUAAAGAAAGCGUAAUAGCUCACUGGUCGAGUCGGCCUGCGCGGAAGAUGUAACGGGGCUAAACCAUGCACCGAAGCUGCGGCAGCGACGCUUAUGCGUUGUUGGGUAGGGGAGCGUUCUGUAAGCCUGUGAAGGUGUGCUGUGAGGCAUGCUGGAGGUAUCAGAAGUGCGAAUGCUGACAUAAGUAACGAUAAAGCGGGUGAAAAGCCCGCUCGCCGGA